GGACAGGGACCCAGACACGGCCUGCAGAGCAGCUAUGGCUGAGUGGGGCAGAGAGGUCCCAUCCUGGUGGUCUGGGGACCCGGCCUCACCCUCUCAUUCUCCCUUUGCUUGCUGUUUCCAGGGCCACGGGGGUUCCGUGGCUGUUCUUAUGGGGUUCACAUGGCUGCAUGUGAAGAGGCCGCCCCAAACCACCAAGGGUGUCAGAGCUCAGCCCAGUGGCCUGGAGCACGUCUGGGCAGUGGUGUCAGAGCCCCACACCACUCCCCAUCUCUGGGUACCUCCUCUUGACCUGACCUUGGAUCAUUUCUCCUUAAUGCCUAGGGUUCUGGAUUUUUUAUUUCCCCAGGGCUGGGGAUCGAACAUAGGCCUUGCACACCAUAGACAAGCACUCUCCCACUGAGCUCCACCCCGCUCGGGGGCCUCUGGACUCUUAACCAGCUUAGCCUCCCUCCUCUGAUCCCAGCACGGAAGUAAACAAAGACCAUCCAACCAACAAGGACUCUCGCUCAGGAGUGAUGCCAUGGCAGGACGGGGAGAGCUUCAGAGUGGACAGGAGACCAUUUCCGGUGUGCCUGGCAGGAGGCUUCCAGCCUAGGGAUCAGGAGGCAGCUACCUGGAUGCGGGACACCCCAUUUAAUUGGCCAGAGGAACAUAUUUGGCUUUUGCUUGGAAAAGAGGAUAAGUUGGAAACAGGCUGGUUUUGAACUUCUGGCUUCAGGAGAUCCUCUUGCCUCAGCCUCCUUGAAUAGCUGGCACUACAAGUAUGUUCCACCGUACCCAGCUUGCAUCAGUAGUUGAAGGUUUUGGUGAUUAUGACUAGAGCUGCCAUAGAUAUUUGUGCAAAGAUUCCCAACUAGAG
RNAcentral lists this long non-coding RNA (859 nucleotides) under Heterocephalus glaber (naked mole-rat). Its description in RNAcentral is "lncRNA (ENSHGLG00100049207.1)". Lineage: Eukaryota; Metazoa; Chordata; Mammalia; Rodentia; Bathyergidae. The record is from RNAcentral.